AGCAGCCGCGGUAAUUCCAGCUCCAAUAGCGUAUAUUAAAGUUGUUGCAGUUAAAAAGCUCGUAGUUGAAUUUCGGGGUUAGUAGGUUGGUCGUGCCACUGGUACGUACUGGUCUCACUGACUCCUCCUUCCUGAUGAACUGUAAUGCCAUUAAUUUGGUGUUGCGGGAAACUGGACUGUUACUUUGAAAAAUUAGAGUGUUUAAAGCAAGCUAACGCUUAGAAUACAUUAGCAUGGAAUAAUGAAAUAGGACGUUCGAUCCUAUUUUGUUGGUUUCUAGGAUUGACGUAAUGAUUAAUAGGGAUA
RNAcentral lists this ribosomal RNA (306 nucleotides) under uncultured Glomus. Its description in RNAcentral is "SSU rRNA". It matches the Rfam family "Eukaryotic small subunit ribosomal RNA", at positions 569 to 880 of the family's 1831-position model. Lineage: Eukaryota; Fungi; Glomeromycota; Glomeromycetes; Glomerales; Glomeraceae. The record is from RNAcentral.